Molecule: long non-coding RNA, 1344 nt
Filed under: Homo sapiens (human)
Lineage: Eukaryota; Metazoa; Chordata; Mammalia; Primates; Hominidae
Description: HSALNT0304393
Source: RNAcentral
CAAACGGGCUCGUUAGUGUGGUGUUUUGAUUAGCGCUCUUCCAAAUCACUUUGAAUGUUCUCUAAGACUAUGCAUAACUCAAGCCCUUCUACAAAGAAAACAAACGAAAGCUCUUAGAUGUGUUCUGUUUAACAGGUUUUAAAGAGAAAGCAGCCACAUCUCUCUGCACUCGGGGAUUUGAGGGGAGCAAGAGCGUGCCCGGUCCCUGCUGUGUUGUGUGGCGGACAGUCAAUGUCUUCACUUCUCCCACCUCAGGAUGUAUCUACACAUUCCGGCGAGAGCGUGGACGCCCUACCCGAGCCUCCAAGGCUCUCUGCCCUCAUUCAGCCCAGUGAGCCUGCCCUUCGUCCAACUCCUUUCACCUUCAAUGACCCGACUGUUGCUCAAACCUGACUGCAUCUCUGGUCUUCCUGACUUGCCCUCUGGUACACUCCAACACAGUGGUCUAUUUCAAUGAACCUUCUAAUGAGGACAAGAACACAGCCUUAGCCUUGCAUGACUAAUAACUACUGACUGCUUACUGAUAAUGCACAACAAUUGUUAAUACGGUGCACUAUGAAAAGAUCCGUAAGACAUGAUCAUAGAGAACAAGAUGACAAUACCUUUUGUUUUCUGGGCAUUUCGUGAUUUGGAUCCACUUGUCAUUGCAGUUGGAAGAGGAAUCUUGCUUGGGAGAUUUCUACGUUGCUUACUUUCCAAAGGGGGAGUAUAUGGUAGUUCUAAUGAACUGAAAGACAAUCAGGGAUGGAAAAUACAAAUUUAUUCCUCUGUUUUGGAGGACAGAAGUCAUUAAGAUUGUAAUUCUUCUACAAUACAACUGCAUGCAGGAAGCUAAUGUGGCUUCCUGGGGCGUUAUCUACCCUUGGUCCUAACUCAGGACUGGCUGCAUGCCCAACGCUGUAGCUAAGACUGCCCAGCAGACAUUCAGCACUUGCAGACUGAACCUUUGCUAUUCCAAGUGCUGACAAUGAACUGAGGUCCAUUAUUUAAUAAUACGUAACGUGAGGGAGGAUCUAUCUCAGAUAAGGCAUAGAAAGAAAGCCCUUAGCUCCAACUUGCUGCUCAGGGCUGGAAGUGCGGUCAUUCUGCCUGUGAGUCUCUCCCAGCAUCUAGACCACCACCAGUGGGAUUCCUGAACAUGAAGAUUUUGAAAGAUCUCACAUCUAUAACAUUAGAGACUCCACUAUUCAAAACUGAACAAAUUUUUCUCAUAGAAAUUAUGAGGUGACCCAGAGCUAAGUUCCUGGUUACUACAGGGAGUGGGCUAGGAUGAAUUUUCUUCCUUAUUCUUGAACUCAGGGUUAAUCUUAAGCAAAAAAAUUAAAUAUAUUUUUUAUUGAUUUA